This 478-nucleotide ribosomal RNA is filed under the name uncultured bacterium. RNAcentral describes it as "SSU rRNA". It matches the Rfam family "Bacterial small subunit ribosomal RNA", at positions 26 to 523 of the family's 1533-position model. The record is from RNAcentral.
AGGACGAACGCUGGCGGCGUGCUUAACACAUGCAAGUCGAACGGAAAGGCCCUUCGGGGUACUCGAGUGGCGAACGGGUGAGUAACACGUGGGUGAUCUGCCCUGCACUUUGGGAUAAGCCUGGGAAACUGGGUCUAAUACCGAAUAGGACCACGGCAUGCAUGUGCUGUGGUGGAAAGCUUUUGCGGUGUGGGAUGGGCCCGCGGCCUAUCAGCUUGUUGGUGGGGUGAUGGCCUACCAAGGCGACGACGGGUAGCCGGCCUGAGAGGGUGUCCGGCCACACUGGGACUGAGAUACGGCCCAGACUCCUACGGGAGGCAGCAGUGGGGAAUAUUGCACAAUGGGCGCAAGCCUGAUGCAGCGACGCCGCGUGGGGGAUGACGGCCUUCGGGUUGUAACCCUUUCAGUAGGGACGAAGCGCAAGUGACGGUACCUACAGAAGAAGCACCGGCCAACUACGCGCCAGCAGCCGCGGUAA